GACGAACGCUGGCGGCGUGCUUAACACAUGCAAGUCGAACGGAAAGGCCCUGCUUUUGUGGGGUGCUCGAGUGGCGAACGGGUGAGUAACACGUGAGUAACCUGCCCUUGACUUUGGGAUAACUUCAGGAAACUGGGGCUCAUACCGGAUAGGAGCUCCUGCUGCAUGGUGGGGGAUGGAAAGUUUCGGCGGUUGGGGAUGGACUCGCGGCGUAACAGCUUGUUGGUGGGGUAGUGGCUUACCAAGGCUUUGACGGGUAGCCGGCCUGAGAGGGUGACCGGCCACAUUGGGACUGAGAUGCGGCCCAGACUCCUACGGGAGGCAGCAGUGGGGAAUAUUGCACAAUGGGCGGAAGCCUGAUGCAGCAACGCCGCGUGCGGUAUGACGGCCUUCGGGUUGUAAACCGCUUGCGCCUGUGACGAAGCGUGAGUGACGGUAAUGGGUAAAGAAGCACCGGCUAACUACGUG
RNAcentral lists this ribosomal RNA (468 nucleotides) under uncultured bacterium. Its description in RNAcentral is "partial 16S ribosomal RNA". It matches the Rfam family "Bacterial small subunit ribosomal RNA", at positions 28 to 507 of the family's 1533-position model. The record is from RNAcentral.